AGCGAACGCUGGCGGCAGGCCUAACACAUGCAAGUCGAACGAACUCUUCGGAGUUAGUGGCGGACGGGUGAGUAACACGUGGGAACGUGCCUUUUGGUUCGGAAUAACUCAGGGAAACUUGUGCUAAUACCGAAUGUGCCCUUCGGGGGAAAGAUUUAUCGCCAUUAGAGCGGCCCGCGUCUGAUUAGCUAGUUGGUGAGGUAACGGCUCACCAAGGCGACGAUCAGUAGCUGGUCUGAGAGGAUGACCAGCCACACUGGGACUGAGACACGGCCCAGACUCCUACGGGAAGCGGCAGUGGGGAAUCUUGCGCAAUGGGCGAAAGCCUGACGCAGCCAUGCCGCGUGAAUGAUGAAGGUCUUAGGAUUGUAAAAUUCUUUCACCGGGGACGAUAAUGACGGUACCCGGAGAAGAAGCCCCGGCUAACUUCGUG
RNAcentral lists this ribosomal RNA (433 nucleotides) under uncultured bacterium. Its description in RNAcentral is "partial 16S ribosomal RNA". It matches the Rfam family "Bacterial small subunit ribosomal RNA", at positions 29 to 507 of the family's 1533-position model. The record is from RNAcentral.